AGACGGAGGGUGCAAACGUUGCUCGGAAUUACUGGGCAUAAAGCGCACGUAGGCGGUUGUGUAAGUGCGAUGUGAAAGCCCCCGGCCCAACCGGGGAAUUGCAUCGCAUACUGCACAACUAGAGCUUGAGAGGGGAGAGUGGAACUCCUGGUGGAGCGGUGGAAUGCGUAGAUAUCAGGAGGAACGCUGGAGGUGAAGACGACUCUCUGGCCCAAUGCUGACGCUGAGGUGCGAAAGCUAGGGUAGCGAACGGAAUUAGAAACCCCAGUAGUCC
RNAcentral lists this ribosomal RNA (274 nucleotides) under uncultured bacterium. Its description in RNAcentral is "partial 16S ribosomal RNA". It matches the Rfam family "Bacterial small subunit ribosomal RNA", at positions 523 to 796 of the family's 1533-position model. The record is from RNAcentral.